UGUAGAUAAUGGUGGGAUCAAAAAAUAUGACAGUGUUUCCGGACUUUCUGAGCAGCCGAGAGAUCAAAUACGUCGUUCACAUGGUUAGACGGUUGUGUGGACAAAAACAAAAAGUAUAAGUCAGACUAUGGAAUGUUCUGCUUCUGCAUUGCAGACAGUGAGCAUGACUGGAGGAAAGGAACUGAGCAAUACAAGUUCAUUGGAGGUGAUGACCAACUUGAACGGCGGGAAAAGAGAAAAACAAGAGUUCCAACAAUUAGUAACAAAAUAGUUGAUAUACCACCCGAUGAGUAUUGCUGGAGGAACUAUAGCCAGAAACCCAUCAAAGGCUCUCCUCAUCCCAGGUUAAAAAGUCUUGCAUACUUAUCAAAACUGCAUAAGAUGGCUUAUUCAAAUUGAUUAUGCUGGAAUUCGUGACUGGCACCAGUUCGCAGAUACUCGACAAGCCAUGCUUGCUGUCAUAGAGAGUUGAGUUAGCUCAUAAUUUUUAUGCAUGUUUUUUCAGUAGCUAGCUUAUGACAUUGUAGGAUUUACGUUCCAGUGCCAAUAUAUUUGAUUUUUGGCUUUAAGUUACUAUGACAGCAGAAUCUAUCAUGCCAACAAUGAUGCUAUGCAGGUUCAUAGAUUUUGUAUUCUGUGUUUUCUUUGCCUCCUUGCUGCCUAAUGUGCUUCAAUCAAUAUGGAACAUGCUAUAAAUAAGAGAACCUAGGGAGGGAUGACAUCAAGAGAUUGCUUACGCUAUAUAAUGUGAUCAGAAUGUAGCUUAUGGUGAUGUUUACAUUGCGCUGUAAACAUGUAUUAAUCGUAGAUUUUGGUCAUAAUGUGAUUGGAUUGAUUUGAAUGAGAUCAAUUGUUUGCUUAUGCAGUAACGCUACAUAAUGUGAUUGGAUUGUAGCUUAUAUUCGCAUUGAGCUGUAAACGUGCUGCUGUAGAAAAUAAACUGGCAUAAAGUGGGUUGGGUUUUGAAUUUUUGAUGUACUAUGUGCUAUCUCACAGAUAACAUUCCAGGAGGAGAUCUUGAAACAAUUUUUCGUUUGAAGUUCACUUUUAGGCUUUUAGCUAUAACUGUUGGUCCUGUAGAUUAUGAAACUACCUGCUAUCUGUUUCAAGUAUUUGUCUAGCUAUGUGAGUUUUUCCAACUAGAUGAGGCUUCUAACAAUCAGUGCCCUCAGUGGCCAAUUAUGUUAAUCUUCUGCGGAACCAACUAUGA
Molecule: long non-coding RNA, 1210 nt
Organism: Spinacia oleracea (spinach)
Lineage: Eukaryota; Viridiplantae; Streptophyta; Magnoliopsida; Caryophyllales; Amaranthaceae
Exons: 3
Source: RefSeq, a predicted model, not a curated record